This 456-nucleotide ribosomal RNA is filed under the name Amaricoccus sp. HAR-UPW-R2A-40. RNAcentral describes it as "Bacterial large subunit ribosomal RNA". It matches the Rfam family "Bacterial large subunit ribosomal RNA", at positions 1348 to 1916 of the family's 2925-position model. Lineage: Bacteria; Pseudomonadati; Pseudomonadota; Alphaproteobacteria; Rhodobacterales; Paracoccaceae. The record is from Rfam by way of RNAcentral.
AGGGUUCCUGCUUAAAGCUAAUCUGAGCAGGGUGAGCCGACCCCUAAGGCGAGGCCGAAAGGCGUAGUCGAUGGGAACCAGGUUAAUAUUCCUGGGCCAGGAGGAAGUGACGGAUCGUAGCUGUUGUCAGGCCUUAUCGGAUUGGUCUGGCCUCGAAGCGGUUCCUGGAAAUAGCCCUCCAUGAGAUCGUACCCUAAACCGACACAGGUGGACUGGUAGAGCAUACCAAGGCGCUUGAGAGAACUGCGUUGAAGGAACUCGGCAAAAUGCCUCCGUAACUUCGGGAGAAGGAGGCCCCCGUCUGCGGGCAACCGUGGGCGGGGGGCACAAACUAGGGGGGUGGCGACUGUUUUACUAAAAAACACAGGUCUCUGCGAAGCCCAAAGGCGACGUAUAGGGACUGACGCCUGCCCGGUGCUGGAAGGUUAAAGGGAGGGGUGCAAGCUCCGAACUGAA